This is a transfer RNA of 73 nucleotides. It matches the Rfam family "tRNA". Rfam says of the family: Transfer RNA (tRNA) molecules are approximately 80 nucleotides in length. Their secondary structure includes four short double-helical elements and three loops (D, anti-codon, and T loops). The record is from Rfam.
GUGAAUGUAGCUCAGUUGGCAGAGCACCAGGUUGUGGCCCUGGGGGCCGAGGGUUCAAGCCCCUUCAUUCACC